CGGACGGGUGAGUAAUGUCUGGGAAACUGCCUGACGGAGGGGGAUAACUACUGGAAACGGUAGCUAAUACCGCAUAACGUCGCAAGACCAAAGAGGGGGACCUUCGGGCCUCUUGCCAUCGGAUGUGCCCAGAUGGGAUUAGCUAGUAGGUGGGGUAACGGCUCACCUAGGCGACGAUCCCUAGCUGGUCUGAGAGGAUGACCAGCCACACUGGAACUGAGACACGGUCCAG
RNAcentral lists this ribosomal RNA (232 nucleotides) under uncultured bacterium. RNAcentral describes it as "partial 16S ribosomal RNA". It matches the Rfam family "Bacterial small subunit ribosomal RNA", at positions 99 to 334 of the family's 1533-position model. The record is from RNAcentral.